GCUUGUGCUGAAGGCUUGUUUCCUAGGCUACACACUGGGCCCUUGCUCCUUACUCUUCUGUCUGUGGGAAGGUCCCCGGGCCUGGGGCGGAGAGCGCCACGUGUGCGCGCAUGUGCACAUUCACGCUUCCCACUGCAAGGAAGCGCUUCCUCCAGCUCUUCUGGUGAGGCAGGCAGUGGUCUCUGCACGCACCAGCCACGCGGGGCUCAUUCUCAGCACGGC
RNAcentral lists this RNase MRP RNA (222 nucleotides) under Prolemur simus (greater bamboo lemur). RNAcentral's name for it is "RNase MRP (ENSPSMG00000010523.1)". It matches the Rfam family "RNase MRP". Rfam says of the family: RNase MRP is an enzymatically active ribonucleoprotein with two distinct roles in eukaryotes. In mitochondria it plays a direct role in the initiation of mitochondrial DNA replication. Lineage: Eukaryota; Metazoa; Chordata; Mammalia; Primates; Lemuridae. The record is from Rfam by way of RNAcentral.